This 360-nucleotide long non-coding RNA is filed under the name Brassica napus (rape). Its description in RNAcentral is "long non-coding RNA (BNAP_LNC022002)". Lineage: Eukaryota; Viridiplantae; Streptophyta; Magnoliopsida; Brassicales; Brassicaceae. The record is from RNAcentral.
AAAAAAAGAUGCAUGGACGGGAAAUGUGUGGAUGAGAGAUGCGUGGACGGGAGACGCGUGGACAUGAGAUGCGUGGACAUAAGAUGCGUGGACGGGAGACGCGUGGAGCCACUUACACCACCACUGUAACUACCCUCACGUCUUACACCACAACCUCCAUAACCACCACCGCCUCCACUGCGGUAUCCAUCGCUUCCUCCACCAUAUCCACCACCAUCUCCUCCACUCGAGUAGCCACCUCCACCAACCACCACCAUUGUAUCCACACUCACGUUACAUACAGACAUAAUCAAGUGGUUUAAGAAGCGGGAGCUAACCUUCUAUUUGGAUUUUAUCUGUCCAGAUUUCCGAGGCUUGGAU